Talpa occidentalis (Iberian mole) is the source of this 4454-nucleotide long non-coding RNA. RefSeq lists it as uncharacterized. The record is from RefSeq and is a predicted model, not a curated record. NCBI's taxonomy places the organism in Eukaryota, Metazoa, Chordata, Mammalia, Eulipotyphla, Talpidae. The transcript has 3 exons.
GCCUUACCGCGCGGAGGCGGCCUGGCUGAGGCUGCGCGCCCGCAGGACCUCGUUCUCCUGCUGCAGGGCUGUGACCUUCUCCUCCAGCAUCAGGUUCUUCUCUUUCUGGAACAAACCGGCGCACUGGACAGUCACACUUGCCCCGGCUGCGCCCUCGUCCAGGGCCGGCCUCUUCCCCAGGCAGGAGGGCCCUGAGAGGACGAGGCGCAGGCGCUGUGCCCUCCGCGUGUGUCGAGGAGACCCCCCAGCCCCCAGGGGAGAGGAGCGUCCAGGCGGGAGGCCGGGUCUCCAGGAGCCCGCUGGGGCUCUGGGACUUAGUCGCCCCGGGGGGCAGGCUUCGGGGGACUUUGGUGCCACCGGAUAGAAAUAGACUUGACAGGGCCAGAGAUGGGCGUGGGGCUUCUCCAGGGCACCCGGGUCCCUGGGGACUCCGCCCCGGCCCACCUCAGUCAAAUACCCCUCCCCCGGCCGGCCUGUGCUGGAGGCGGGGAACAGGUGGACAGGGGGCGGCCAGCACGCACCACGGUCUCCAUGAGGGCCAGCCGCCGGUCUAGCUCAUGCAUGCGCUGGCUCCGCAUCUCGAUGACGAAGUGCAGGCUCUCCAGCUCCUGCUCCCAGAACGGGCUGAGGCUGCCGUGGUCCUGUGGGUGGAGACAGCUGCCCCUCCCCGACUGCCUCCUCCCAGGUCCUUGUGCCGUGCCCCUGACCUCCCAGGGGCCUCCCAGGAAGGCCCCACCUGGCAGUGCUUCUUGUAGUCUCGGCUCCGAAUGGACUCCUCCACCCUCUUGGCCUUGGCCUGGAAGGCCUCCAGCUGGGAGGUCAGCCCAGCGAUGGUGUCCUGGCAAGGGGCAGGGAUGGACGGCUCAGGGGGACUGCAGGGCCAGGGGCCGUGGUGGGCGCGUCUGUGGCCCCACCCUCCCAAGGAUGUGGGCGCAUGGACUGUACGUCGGGGCAGGGCACCCCCCCCCCCCCGAUGCGUAAACUGUAAUAGAGUCCAGUGUCCGGCCUCCAGGCCAGGUCGGCAGGGCACCCAGAGCACGUCCACCAAGGCCCAAUGUCCUUCCUCUAGGACACAUCACAGCCCCAGCAGGGCCCCCCGCCCACCUCCCCCACAAGCCUCGUCCUCGCCCUGCCCGGGCCACGGCUGCUCCGGCCUCCUGAGCCUCCCGGAGACCCCACCUGCUCACCUGCAGGGCCGUCUCAGCCUCCUGGAAGGAGCGUGUGAGCGCUGCUGUCUCCUGCGUGUGGGAGGCCUGCAGGGCUGUGGAGAAGGAGCUGCGUGAGCCCGACUGUGCCCAGGGCCCUCUGGCCGCCCCUCGAGGGCCGGAGCACCUGGCACAGGGGCUCCUGGUGUCCCGCCCCCGAAGCUCCGUGCAGCCUGCCCUGCCCGUUACAGAUGCUCACUGAUUCCCAAAGAAACUCGGCCAGAGACAUCGUUUCUGGAGACCAGCAAGGAGGAGAGAACCUGACAGAGCCAGAGCGACGGCUUGUUACUGCGGACAGUUCAGUGACAGGCGCACCCGUGAGGCCGGGCCUCAGGGAAUCGGAGCAUUUAAAGCCGCUGAGGAGAGGGAGGGGGGCAGUGAAGUCGAGGAGGUGUCUCAGGCCUCCCCUGGGCAGGGGCCAGGCCUGGAGGGCAGCGAGUGGGGGCUGCCCCCUGCAGUGCGCCACCCUCCGCCCUUCACACUCGGAUGACGGCCCAGCGAGCCUGCCCAGCGGGCGGACACAGGGGAGGACCCACGGGGCCAUGAAGCGGCGCCGUCCAGGAGGCCCAGCACAGGUGCCAUGAGCACGGCCGAGACACAGCAACGGGGGACCUGGGGGUACCGGGUGUUCCACACGCCAGAGAAAGCGCAACAGGAGAACAGGGUUACAAAAAAACAGAAAACAAACCCUGAGGUGACAGCCCUGAAUUCACCAGCUCAGACGGUGCCAGCCGAACGGCCUAGUCUCGCCAAGGAGCAGACUCCAGGGCGAGGUCGGGCUUCAAACACCAUCUACAGCGGCUCACAGGCACCCGCGCGGCUGGGCGUCCAGAGCGAGGGUGGAGACGCAGCCAGGAGGAGCGAGGCAGCAGGGCAAGUAGAAGUGACGCGGGAGGAGGCCGCAGGAAGGAGAGGAACAGCAGCGGACGGUAGGAAAGCAGGGAAAAGUCAGCGGAACCAGAUAGUUUCCUGAGAGGACUGACACGGUGACCGGCCAGUCCCCAGGGCCGGGGGCGGCUCCAGGGGCAGCGAGCGCGAGGCCAUAGGGAGGCACAACUGUCCUGGCACAGAAACGCCGCCAUUAGCCGGGACGUGCGGGUCCCCGGAAACUGCGGCCUGCCGGGACUCACCGAGGCGGCCUGUCCCGAGCAGCCCCAUCACUGCUGAAGGUAACUGCCGUCUCCCUGCAGACGCCACUGAGCAUCGAGAAACGUCGCCGCCCCGGUUAGACAGUCCCUUCCACCCCACGGGGUCGCGGGCCCGGCUCUAAAGCCGAGGAAGCGCAGCCCCCGGCGGGACGCCCGCGUCUGCAGGAGGACCACAAGCCGCCCGGCCGGGACCAGAGAGCGACGGCCAGCAGAGGCUGCCCUCGGGGUGGACACUGGGUCAGCGCUCUGCGGCUCAGGACGGCGCCCGGCGCCCCAUUAGCAAGCUAAAGCAGAAAAACCCCGUUGGCCAGAAACCACGAGGACCUUGGCUAUCUGGGGUCCAGCAGUGAGCUCCCCACCGGCAGAGUAAACUGGAAUUUGUCCAAAUUAAAGGCUCUGCUUUGUGGAAGGCAAAGUUUUGCUUUGUUAGGAGCAAGAAAAUAUACAGACUACGGGAAAAAGUUGCAAAUGUAAAGGGGUCGAAUUCAAAAUACAUAAAAAUCUCUCAAAACUCGGCAGUAGGAAGAAGCUGCCGGUCAGCACUGGCCGAAGGCUGCAACAGACGUGGCCAGAGGAGGUCAGGCGGCGACGCCAAGGGGGUGGUCAGUGUGAUUAGCCGCUUAGCACAAACUAACCCGCCAGCACCACCCCUGCCCCCGGGUCAGAGCUGCCCAAAUAAGACACCCAUGGGCACUUGUGGGCGGGAUGGAGGGACCAGGCCUUGCCAACGGGGAGGGAGGCAGAUGGACACUUCCCAGCUGAACCCACAUCUGGUCUGGGACCAGGACCCAAGUGGACUCAGCACCUCUGGGCGCCUGCGACCCAGAGUGGGCAGGAAGGCUCUGUGGUUGCCUCUAAGGCCUUACAUGGGCUAGAACCAGGCGGGGCUGGGCCCACGGAUGGCAUCUGCGGAGCGGCAGGGCCAGUGUGGAUGGACAGCGUGGAGAAGGCAAAGGCCAGGGGCAGUGGCGGGCAGGGUAGAGGCCGCCAGAUGGUGACUGCCUGAGGGAUGGCUGCUGUGACAGGUUUAUUCAUGUUGGGUUCUGUGGAGCAGGAUGGUUUUUAAAAAACCAAAGCUGGGCCUUCCUGGUGGCGCGAGGGGUUAAGACGCAACCUACGAAGCUGUCCACAGCCACUGCAGCACGGGUUCCAUCCCCAGCCAGGGAGCCACCCACAUGGCGCAGCAGACCCCUCCUGUCUCCCCGCUGCUCCCCUCAGCAGUGGAUUUCAGUCAGUCUGCCUGUUCUGUUCCCCGCUCUGUCUCUGGGGAAUCCUCUCACCCCCCCACACCUCUGGCCUGAGCGCUAGUUCUUGUAUGCAUAAAUAAAUCUUAAAAAAAAAAAAAAAACAAAACUAAGAGAAAACAAGCCCCAUCAGCUGUGAAAACCACCUCCUGGUCCCCCCAACCAGCACCCCCCAACAAAGCCCACGUGUCUCCCCACGUGGGGCCUGCUCACUCUGUACACACCUGUCACAUCUCCCUGAGAACCUGACCAGGGGGCUCUGACCAGGCCAGCCGUCCCCCAGGCUCCACCACAGGGAGCUUUCCUGUCGCUCCACGCACAAGACGAAAAGGGGCAAAUCCAUGUGGGGAAACUCAGUGUGGGGGCUGCGCCCGGGCGGGUCAAGCUGGCCCGGGUGGGUCAGGGAUGUGGGUCGGCCUUCGAGGCCAUUUCAAAACGGUUUGGCUAAGGUUGCAACAUGUCUCAAGGAUCUGAAAACGGCUCAGACCUCUGCUCUAGUUACUGCACUUCUGGGAAACCCAGUGCUGCUGCACUGGCGUCUGUCUGCAAAGGGCAAUGCGGACGCUGUUGUUUAGCCGGGAGGCGGGGGUCUGUCUCCCAGGAACAGGGAAACUGGCCGUGGCGUCGCCUUUGCGAGCGUUAGCAGCUCCGCACACACAGCGCUAAAUUAAAAGGACUGCCCAGCUGUAUAAAGUGACCAUGAAGUGUCUCUUUAAAAGAUAAACAAAGCUGGUCAUUCAAGGGAAAGCUGGCAGGACACUUCCAAGGUCAACCUCAAACCUCCUCCAGAGGAACAGCUUGUGCGCACCUGAGUAGGCGGCGGCUGCAGCAGAGACAGCAACUGCAGGGGACGUGGG